AUUGAACGCUGGCGGCAGGCCUAACACAUGCAAGUCGAGCGGAUGAAGGGAGCUUGCUCCUGGAUUCAGCGGCGGACGGGUGAGUAAUGCCUAGGAAUCUGCCUGGUAGUGGGGGAUAACGUCCGGAAACGGGCGCUAAUACCGCAUACGUCCUGAGGGAGAAAGUGGGGGAUCUUCGGACCUCACGCUAUCAGAUGAGCCUAGGUCGGAUUAGCUAGUUGGUGGGGUAAAGGCCUACCAAGGCGACGAUCCGUAACUGGUCUGAGAGGAUGAUCAGUCACACUGGAACUGAGACACGGUCCAGACUCCUAGGGGAGGCAGCAGUGGGGAAUAUUGGACAAGGGGCGAAAGCCUGAUCCAGCCAUGCCGCGUGUGUGAAGAAGGUCUUCGGAUUGUAAAGCACUUUAAGUUGGGAGGAAGGGCAGUAAGUUAAUACCUUGCUGUUUUGACGGUACAAACAGAAUAAGCACCGGCUAACUUCG
Molecule: ribosomal RNA, 482 nt
Filed under: uncultured bacterium
Lineage: Bacteria
Description: partial 16S ribosomal RNA
Rfam family: Bacterial small subunit ribosomal RNA
Source: RNAcentral